RNA transcript from Lucilia sericata (common green bottle fly), 1642 nucleotides. It is a transcript of the gene named molybdopterin synthase catalytic subunit-like, with no coding region annotated. Lineage: Eukaryota; Metazoa; Arthropoda; Insecta; Diptera; Calliphoridae. The transcript has 4 exons. The record is from RefSeq and is a predicted model, not a curated record.
CGAGUACUUUUUUUUGCUAAAACACGUGAACUGUCCGGACUAAACGAAGUGAAUUAUGAAUUAAGUUCUCCAAAAAUUGUUGCAUCCGAUCUUUUGCUUAAAAUUUGUAAAGACUUUAACUUGGAAGUGAUUAGAGAAAGUUUAAUUCUAGCUAUUAACGAAAGCUACUGUGAAGAUUUGCAUUCAGAACUACAAUUAAACGAAGGUGACGAAAUUGCUAUCAUACCACCGAUAAGUGGUGGAUAAUAUAUACAUAACUAAAAAUUUGUGGGAUUGCGAUAGAUCGGAAUAUAAUGAAUCAUUUGAUACUUACCCGCGAUAUUUUAAAUGUUGGUGAAAUUAGUGACACCGUAUCCGCUAAAUCUUGUGGAGCAAUAUCAUUAUUUGUCGGUACGACCCGUGAUUGUUUUGAGGGAAAAAGGGUAUGUUCAUUGGAGUAUGAAGCCUACGAACCAAUGGCUAUUAAACAAAUUGAACUUAUUUGUAAGGAGCUUAGGCGUCAAUGGCCAGACAUAGUAAAUAUCGCAAUAUGCCACCGUUUGGGUUUAGUAGAAGUUCGAGAGGCCAGUGUCGUGAUUGCUAUUUCUUCACCACAUCGUAAAACAUCAUUGGACGCAGUCGGGGUUGCAAUAGAUGAACUUAAGAAACGUGUACCGAUCUGGAAGAAAGAAAUAUACGAUGAAAAUGAAUCCACUUGGAAAGAGAACAAGGAAUUUUUAAGUCUUUUAGGUGAGAAGUGGAAUCUGAACGGAUAUUUUAUUAACAACGAAUUUUUACCUAACGUUUCCAAAAUGAAAAAACUUUCAACAUUGAAAGUGGAUGAGCUAAAACAGCUAUUACGCGAACGUGAAUUACCAACAUCAGGUUCAAAGGCAGAACUUGUUCAACAUGUAGCUAAUAUGCAACGUCAACAUGUCAAUACAAUUUCUAACGAAUACCCAAGCUCACGUCAAAAUGCAAAUUAUUCUGCUCGAACGUGUGGAACGUGUAGAUAGUGCAAUACAGGCAUAUCGAUGGGAAGAAAAGUGUUUACUUUUUGCGGUGUACAGUAAAAUGAAAGGCGCCGCUCGUUUAUGGUUAGAUUCUCUUCAAGUUCUUCAUUCCAAAUAGAAUGAUUUUUCCAGAGUGUUAAAAAGAGAAUUUGUAGCGACACAAGAUGAAGCAGAAAUUCAUUUUAAAAUGAUAAGUGCCGUUCGGAAAAGUGAUGAAAAAGUAACGGAUUAUUGUUUUAGAAUUUGCGCGCUCGGUAAACGAUACAAGUUGAGUGAAAAAGCAAUCGUUAAAUAUAUUCGGGAAGGACUACAGAAUCGCGAAAUUCAAGUUGCUAUCGCUACUCAUAAAAUCGAUUCGGUUAAACAAUUACGGGAAAUUUUAAGUGGAAAAGUCUCAAAUUGGAGAUCCGAGCAAUACCUUUAAAUCCUUAAAUGAAACUAUACCGCCGGCUGGUUUAUUGACAUACGACAGAAAAAUGUAUUCCGUAACUGACAUAGAUACUCACCCCUAUUCUGCAUUUCGAUUACGUUUACGCAUUCAGUUACGCAGCGAUCGAAAAAAGGUAUUCCAACAAAAAACUGAAUCGUAAGAAAAAGAAGAAGCAAUACCAUAUCGUUUCAAUGCUUUACAAAUGUGUGUAUUCUGCGUU